CGGAGGAAAAGAAACCAACCGGGAUUGCCUUAGUAACGGCGAGUGAAGCGGCAAAAGCUCAAAUUUGAAAUCUGGUACCUUCGGUGCCCGAGUUGUAAUUUGGAGAGGGCAACUUUGGGGCCGUUCCUUGUCUAUGUUCCUUGGAACAGGACGUCAUAGAGGGUGAGAAUCCCGUGUGGCGAGGAGUGCGGUUCUUUGUAAAGUGCCUUCGAAGAGUCGAGUUGUUUGGGAAUGCAGCUCUAAGUGGGUGGUAAAUUCCAUCUAAAGCUAAAUAUUGGCGAGAGACCGAUAGCGAACAAGUACAGUGAUGGAAAGAUGAAAAGAACUUUGAAAAGAGAGUGAAAAAGUACGUGAAAUUGUUGAAAGGGAAGGGCAUUUGAUCAGACAUGGUGUUUUGUGCCCUCUGCUCCUUGUGGGUAGGGGAAUCUCGCAUUUCACUGGGCCAGCAUCAGUUUUGGUGGCAGGAUAAAUCCAUAGGAAUGUAGCUUGCCUCGGUAAGUAUUAUAGCCUGUGGGAAUACUGCCAGCUGGGACUGAGGACUGCGACGUAAGUCAAGGAUG
RNAcentral lists this ribosomal RNA (560 nucleotides) under Saccharomyces cerevisiae (brewer's yeast). RNAcentral describes it as "partial large subunit ribosomal RNA". It matches the Rfam family "Eukaryotic large subunit ribosomal RNA", at positions 51 to 625 of the family's 3401-position model. Lineage: Eukaryota; Fungi; Ascomycota; Saccharomycetes; Saccharomycetales; Saccharomycetaceae. The record is from RNAcentral.